This 232-nucleotide unclassified non-coding RNA is filed under the name uncultured fungus. RNAcentral's name for it is "sequence contains ITS1, 5.8S rRNA gene". Lineage: Eukaryota; Fungi. The record is from RNAcentral.
UUUCCGUAGGUGAGUAAAUGUUUAAAUUCUAUACGACAGUCAAAUACUAACGGUUUAUAGGUGAACCUGCGGAAGGAUCAUUACCGAGUGACGCUCAGUUGAGCUCCUCCCACCCAUUGUUAACUUCUUGUUGCUUCGGCGGGCCACGAGAGUCAUCGGCUUUACGCGGAUGAGUGCCCGCCGAAGAUUUUUAAACUCUAGUCUUGAAGUCUGAUUAAAAACAAAUAAAUAA